This 404-nucleotide ribosomal RNA is filed under the name uncultured cyanobacterium. RNAcentral describes it as "partial 16S ribosomal RNA". It matches the Rfam family "Bacterial small subunit ribosomal RNA", at positions 355 to 774 of the family's 1533-position model. The record is from RNAcentral. Lineage: Bacteria; Bacillati; Cyanobacteriota.
UGGGGAAUUUUCCGCAAUGGGCGAAAGCCUGACGGAGCAAUACCGCGUGAGGGAGGAAGGCUUUUGGGUUGUAAACCUCUUUUAUUCGGGAAGAAGAUCUGACGGUACCGAAUGAAUCAGCAUCGGCUAACUCCGUGCCAGCAGCCGCGGUAAUACGGAGGAUGCAAGCGUUAUCCGGAUUUAUUGGGCGUAAAGCGUCCGCAGGUGGUUUAUCAAGUCUGCUGUCAAAGCGCGGAGCUUAACUCUGUAAAGGCAGUGGAAACUGGUGAACUAGAGUCUGGUAGGGGUCACGGGAAUUCCCAGUGUAGCGGUGAAAUGCGUAGAUAUUGGGAAGAACACCAGCGGCGAAAGCGCGUGACUGGACCGGAACUGACACUCAUGGACGAAAGCUAGGGGAGCGAAAG